Molecule: unclassified non-coding RNA, 265 nt
Filed under: uncultured Trichoderma
Lineage: Eukaryota; Fungi; Ascomycota; Sordariomycetes; Hypocreales; Hypocreaceae
Description: sequence contains ITS2
Rfam family: 5.8S ribosomal RNA (bases 1-52)
Source: RNAcentral
AACGCACAUUGCGCCCGCCAGUAUUCUGGCGGGCAUGCCUGUCCGAGCGUCAUUUCAACCCUCGAACCCCUCCGGGGGGUCGGCGUUGGGGAUCGGCCCUCCCUCGCGGUGGGCCGUCUCCGAAAUACAGUGGCGGCCUCGCCGCAGCCUCCCCUGCGCAGUAGUUUGCACACUCGCACCGGGAGCGCGGCGCGUCCACAGCCGUGAAACACCCAACUUCUGGAAUGUUGACCUCGGAUCAGGUAGGAAUACCCGCUGAACUUAA